RNAcentral lists this transfer RNA (69 nucleotides) under Eleutherocaulis alte. Its description in RNAcentral is "Laevicaulis alte tRNA-Tyr". Lineage: Eukaryota; Metazoa; Mollusca; Gastropoda; Systellommatophora; Veronicellidae. The record is from RNAcentral.
UUAGAGGGGGGUAAUUUAAAUACCCAACCUAGAAUUUACAAUUCUACCUUCACCAAAAAAGUGCUUAUA